AGAGUUUGAUCAUGGCUCAGGAUGAACGCUAGCGGCAGGCUUAAUACAUGCAAGUCGAGGGGCAGCACAGGUAGCAAUACUGGGUGGCGACCGGCAAACGGGUGCGGAACACGUACGCAACCUUCCCAUAACUGGUGAAUAGCCUUCCGAAAGGGAGAUUAAUACACCGUAACAUAACGAGAUGGCAUCAUCUUGUUAUUAUAGCUUCGGCGGUUUUGGAUGGGCGUGCGCCUGAUUAGGUAGUUGGCGGGGUAACGGCCCACCAAGCCUCCGAUCAGUAACUGGUGUGAGAGCACGACCAGUCACACGGGCACUGAGACACGGACCAGACUCCUACGGGAGGCAGCAGUGAGGAAUAUUGGUCAAUGGGCGCAAGCCUGAACCAGCCAUCCCGUGUGCAGGAAGACGGCCCUAUGGGUUGUAAACUGCUUUUAUACACCAAGAAAAAUCUCCACGUGUGGAGACCCGACGGUAGUGUAUGAAUAAGCAUCGGCUAACUCCGUGCCAGCAGCCGCGGUAAUACGGAGGAUGCAAGCGUUAUCCGGAUUCCUUGGGUUUAAAGGGUGCGUAGGCGGCUUUUUAAGUCAGUGGUGAAAUCUUGCCGCUUAACGGUAAAAUUGCCAUUGAUACUGAGAAGCUUGAGUACAUUUGAGGUAAGCGGAAUGUGUAGUGUAGCGGUGAAAUGCUUAGAUAUUACACAGAACACCAAUUGCGAAGGCAGCUUACUAAACUGUUACUGACGCUGAUGCACGAAAGCGUGGGGAUCGAACAGGAUUAGAUACCCUGGUAGUCCACGCCGUAAACGAUGUUCACUCGCUGUUUGCGAUACACAGCAAGCGGCCAAGCGAAAGCAUUAAGUGAACCACCUGGGGAGUACGAUCGCAAGGUUGAAACUCAAAGGAAUUGACGGGGGCCCGCACAAGCGGAGGAACAUGUGGUUUAAUUCGAUGAUACGCGAGGAACCUUACCUGGGCUUAAAUGUAGAGCGACAGCUUGUGAAAGCAGGCUUUCUUCGGACGAUCUACAAGGUGCUGCAUGGUUGUCGUCAGCUCGUGCCGUGAGGUGUCGGGUUAAGUCCCAUAACGAGCGCAACCCUUAUCGUUAGUUGCCAGCGGGUCAAGCCGGGGACUCUAGCGAGACUGCCACCGUAAGGUGAGAGGAAGGUGGGGAUGACGUCAAAUCAGCACGGCCCUUAUGUCCAGGGCUACACACGUGUUACAAUGGCCGAUACAAAGGGCAGCUACCAGGUGACUGGAUGCUAAUCUCUAAAGUCGGUCUCAGUUCGGAUCGAAGUCUGCAACCCGACUUCGUGAAGCUGGAUUCGCUAGUAAUCGCGCAUCAGCCAUGGCGCGGUGAAUACGUUCCCGGGGCCUUGUACACACCGCCCGUCAAACAAUGGAAGGCUGGGGGUACCUGAAGUCUGUAACCGCAAGGAGCGGGCCUAGGGUAAAACUAGUAACUGG
Molecule: ribosomal RNA, 1463 nt
Filed under: uncultured bacterium
Lineage: Bacteria
Description: bacterial SSU rRNA
Rfam family: Bacterial small subunit ribosomal RNA
Source: RNAcentral